This is a long non-coding RNA of Pantherophis guttatus, 1714 nucleotides long. RefSeq lists it as uncharacterized. NCBI's taxonomy places the organism in Eukaryota, Metazoa, Chordata, Lepidosauria, Squamata, Colubridae. The record is from RefSeq and is a predicted model, not a curated record.
UUCUCCGCGAAGGAAGCGGGUGGCCCGAAACCACAAUUCCCAGCAUCCCUCGGGGUGGAACCGGUUUUUUGCUUACCGUGAGGAGACUUCAGGCGGUAAUAAUAAUGAUGCAUUUGCAACAGGCUUCAUUUGGAAUAAAACAGUGAUCUGACCCUAGUCUAAAGCAGGCAUGAGCAAAUUUCAUCGUGCGCCGCCGGUCGGGCUCGCCUCGAGGCCCCGCAGGAUCCGCUCCGGCCAGGCAGGCCCGAGGCUGCCUCCACCCCCCUUUUUUUUAAUCUUUUUUUUUCAACAUGGCCUUGAGAAACGAAUGGACAAAACGCCUCAAAUGUUGUGAACCUGUGUUUUUUUAAAUUUUAAAACUUCAAAGACGGCUGAGAGAAUUCUGGGAAUCUUAAACUGGCAGGUUUGAAAAAAACUGCACAAACAAAACCGUUUGGAAACAAAGAAACAAUUAAGAAAAAGCGAACGGAAAAAGAAUCCUAACAACCAGGAUCCAUCUAUCUUCAUCCAUCCACCCAUCCAUGCUUCUUUCUUGCUUUGGCAAUCCUGCCUGGGGAAUUCUGGGAUUAAAGAACCCCGCACACCUCAAAGAGGACCAAAAAAAAGGGGAUCUUUAGGAUUCUUUUGUAUGGGUCAUUUCAAAAAACGGUUACAUAUAUUCCCAUGGAGAGGUUUCUGUUUAAUGCCUUCAUCCUCGGUGACAAUCGUUGGUUUUUUAUUCCAGUAAUAAUGUUUCUUAUUGGUUUAGUAUGUUGUUGAUCAUCCAGAGUUGUGUGUGUGAGAUGGGUUGCCAUAGAAACCAACUUAAUAUGCCUUUAGAGCAUUGCCAGGCAUCUCCCUGUUCUAGAACCGUAAUGUUCAGGUUAGCAAAAGGACUCCCAGCAGUCCUGAGCAUCGCAUAAUCCCAGGAGCGCAUAUUAAUCAGGAAGAGCCCAACUGGAACACUCAACAUGAGGUCCCAAAAGAGGUGUCUAUGCAAGUGAAAGUGGCCAUCAUUAGGCUGGAAAAAAAAACCAUCAGAGAGAUAGUAAAAAUGUUGAGAGUAGCCAAAAUUGUUUGGAACUUUCUUAAAAGAAGGAAUUAGCUGGAAGGCUCAGCAACACCAAAAAGCCUGGAAGAUCAAGGAAGACACUAAAGUGGAUAACCACAGAAUUCUGUCAUUAGUGAAGAAAAACCCUUUCACAACAUCUGGCCAAGUCGUGAACACUCUUGAGAAGGUAGCAGUGUCAUUGCCAAAGUCUACAGUCAAGAGACAGCUUCACAAAUCUAAAUAUAGAGGCUUCACAGUAAGAACCAGAUAGGAAAGUGCCCAGCAGGCAUCUGCAAGCAAGUCCGAGUCACUGCUGAAGAGCAAGCGAGACAAGACCGGCAAACAGGAUGACACCUGCCCAAAAACACAAUUGCAAGAGAUCGUGAGAACACCGGACCAAGAGGUCAAGAGGAAGUUACAGGCAUUUCAGCAGUUCUCCACAGAGUUUUAGUGAGAUGUCUUUGGUCAAUUGGAUCACAACCACAGAAAUAAGCAGGACAAAGACAGAGCAAGCUGUAAAGUUGAUUAAGAUCUUCAAGAAAUAGCUGGCCCUCCUCUUACCUGUAGUGUGCUGUUUUCACUUCUCUUGAGGAACUCAACAAACCUGUCCACAACUCCCUGAGUACUUAUCACCUCAUCGAUUGGAGGAUUGGGCUCUAAAAUAAAAUUUAAAAAGAAACUGAA